This 484-nucleotide ribosomal RNA is filed under the name uncultured bacterium. RNAcentral's name for it is "partial 16S ribosomal RNA". It matches the Rfam family "Bacterial small subunit ribosomal RNA", at positions 899 to 1397 of the family's 1533-position model. The record is from RNAcentral.
ACUCAAAGGAAUUGACGGGGGCCCGCACAAGCAGCGGAGCGUGUGGUUUAAUUCGAGGCUACACGAAGAACCUUACCUGGACUUGACAUGGAGAGGAACGAAGGUGAAAGCCUGAGGUUCGCAAGACCUCUUCACAGGUGCUGCAUGGCUGUCGUCAGCUCGUGUCGUGAGAUGUUAGGUUAAGUCCUGUAACGAGCGCAACCCCCGGUGGUAGUUACACGGUGUCUACCGCUACUGCCUGCGUAAGUGGGAGGAAGGUGGGGAUGAUGUCAAGUCAGCAUGGCCUUUAUGUCCAGGGCUACACACACGCUACAAUGGUCGGUACAACAGGAUGCCAAGCGGCAACGCGGAGCAAAUCCUCUCAAAGCCGAUCUCAGUUCAGAUUGUGGGCUGCAACCCGCCCACAUGAAGUCGGAGUUGCUAGUAACCGCGCGUCAGCCAUAGUGCGGUGAAUACGUUCCCGGGCCUUGUACACACCGCCCGU